This 253-nucleotide ribosomal RNA is filed under the name uncultured bacterium. RNAcentral's name for it is "partial 16S ribosomal RNA". It matches the Rfam family "Bacterial small subunit ribosomal RNA", at positions 524 to 776 of the family's 1533-position model. RNAcentral also lists the same sequence under 2 other names. The record is from RNAcentral.
UACGUAGGGUCCGAGCGUUGUCCGGAGUUACUGGGCGUAAAGCGCGCGCAGGCGGCGGUGUAAGCAUGGCGUGAAAGCCCCAGGCUCAACCUGGGAGGGUCGUCGUGGACUGCACCGCUUGAGGGCGGUAGGGGCUGGUGGAAUGCCUGGUGUAGUGGUGAAAUGCGUAGAGAUCAGGCGGAACACCCGUGGCGAAGGCGGCCAGCUGGGCCGUCCCUGACGCUGAGGCGCGAAGGCGUGGGGAGCGAACGGG